RNAcentral lists this ribosomal RNA (545 nucleotides) under uncultured bacterium. RNAcentral describes it as "bacterial SSU rRNA". It matches the Rfam family "Bacterial small subunit ribosomal RNA", at positions 338 to 874 of the family's 1533-position model. The record is from RNAcentral.
CCUACGGGAGGCAGCAGUGGGGAAUAUUGGACAAUGGGCGCAAGCCUGAUCCAGCCAUGCCGCGUGUGUGAAGAAGGCCUUAUGGUUGUAAAGCACUUUAAGCGAGGAGGAGGCUACUGAAGUUAAUACCUUCAGAUAGUGGACGUUACUCGCAGAAUAAGCACCGGCUAACUCUGUGCCAGCAGCCGCGGUAAUACAGAGGGUGCAAGCGUUAAUCGGAUUUACUGGGCGUAAAGCGCGCGUAGGCGGCUAAUUAAGUCAAAUGUGAAAUCCCCGAGCUUAACUUGGGAAUUGCAUUCGAUACUGGUUAGCUAGAGUGUGGGAGAGGAUGGUAGAAUUCCAGGUGUAGCGGUGAAAUGCGUAGAGAUCUGGAGGAAUACCGAUGGCGAAGGCAGCCAUCUGGCCUAACACUGACGCUGAGGUGCGAAAGCAUGGGGAGCAAACAGGAUUAGAUACCCUGGUAGUCCAUGCCGUAAACGAUGUCUACUAGCCGUUGGGGCCUUUGAGGCUUUAGUGGCGCAGCUAACGCGAUAAGUAGACCGCCU